RNAcentral lists this ribosomal RNA (497 nucleotides) under uncultured bacterium. Its description in RNAcentral is "partial 16S ribosomal RNA". It matches the Rfam family "Bacterial small subunit ribosomal RNA", at positions 28 to 507 of the family's 1533-position model. The record is from RNAcentral.
GAUGAACGCUGGCGGCGUGCCUAAUACAUGCAAGUCGAGCGAACAGACGAGGAGCUUGCUCCUCUGACGUUAGCGGCGGACGGGUGAGUAACACGUGGAUAACCUACCUAUAAGACUGGGAUAACUUCGGGAAACCGGAGCUAAUACCGGAUAAUAUAUUGAACCGCAUGGUUCAAUAGUGAAAGACGGUUUUGCUGUCACUUAUAGAUGGAUCCGCGCCGCAUUAGCUAGUUGGUAAGGUAACGGCUUACCAAGGCAACGAUGCGUAGCCGACCUGAGAGGGUGGUCGGCCACACUGGAACUGAGACACGGUCCAGGCUCCUACGGGAGGCAGCAGUAGGGAAUCUUCCGCAAUGGGCGAAAGCCUGACGGAGCAACGCCGCGUGAGUGAUGAAGGUCUUCGGAUCGUAAAGCUCUGUUAUUAGGGAAGAACAAAUGUGUAAGUAACUAUGCACGUCUUGACGGUACCUAAUCAGAAAGCCACGGCUAACUACGUG